RNAcentral lists this ribosomal RNA (232 nucleotides) under uncultured bacterium. RNAcentral's name for it is "partial 16S ribosomal RNA". It matches the Rfam family "Bacterial small subunit ribosomal RNA", at positions 15 to 236 of the family's 1533-position model. The record is from RNAcentral.
GAUCAUGGCUCAGGAUGAACGCUAGCUACAGGCUUAACACAUGCAAGUCGAGGGGAAACGACAUCGAAAGCUUGCUUUUGAUGGGCGUCGACCGGCGCACGGGUGAGUAACGCGUAUCCAACCUGCCCAUCACUUGGGGAUAACCUUGCGAAAGUAAGACUAAUACCCAAUGAUAUCUCUAGAAGACAUCUGAAAGGGAUUAAAGAUUUAUCGGUGAUGGAUGGGGAUGCGU